This 252-nucleotide ribosomal RNA is filed under the name uncultured bacterium. RNAcentral describes it as "partial 16S ribosomal RNA". It matches the Rfam family "Bacterial small subunit ribosomal RNA", at positions 524 to 776 of the family's 1533-position model. The record is from RNAcentral.
UACGAAGGGGGCUAGCGUUGUUCGGAAUCACUGGGCGUAAAGGGCGCGUAGGCGGCUUUAUAAGUCGGGGUGAAAGCCUGUGGCUCAACCACAGAAUUGCCUUCGAUACUGUAGAGCUUGAGACCGGAAGAGGUAAGUGGAACUGCGAGUGUAGAGGUGAAAUUCGUAGAUAUUCGCAAGAACACCAGUGGCGAAGGCGGCUUACUGGUCCGGUUCUGACGCUGAGGCGCGAAAGCAUGGGGAGCGAACAGG